Long non-coding RNA from Alligator mississippiensis (American alligator), 616 nucleotides. RefSeq lists it as uncharacterized. Lineage: Eukaryota; Metazoa; Chordata; Crocodylia; Alligatoridae. The transcript has 3 exons. The record is from RefSeq and is a predicted model, not a curated record.
UUGGCUGCUGUAGUCAGGCAGCAGCAGCAUUGCCUGGCUGGAGGGCUGCUGAGAACAACCUGGAGUAAGCAAAAGCAUCCAUUAGGGUCUAAGGAGAAGGAACAGCAUGAAAGCAGCUUGUGCUUCACCACAGAAUUCUUUUGUGCUGCAUUACCAGAAUAUAGACAUUGACUUUGCAGAUGGCUCAUUAUUUACCAAGUCAGGGAAAUUCUAAGCAUUCUGCCUUGACUUUUUAAGAAGCUUUUCUGAGUUGCCUGGAGCCCUGCUGGACUACCAGGAUGUUGAGGAGCUGGGGACUUGAAAUACAUGAUCCAAGGACUGCCUGCUGGGCAGGCUACCUCAGAGGGGACCCUGGAAGGCCAGGCCUGUGAGGAGCAACAUGUGUAGGCAUGAUGGCUCCCAUGACCCUAGGUUUCUGCCACCCUGGCCUAAAGGAAGUUCCUUUUACUGAAGGCCUAAUACUUUCAAAUUCUCAGCUCCUGAUUAUGAUCUUGAUUAUCUGAUUAUGUGCCAGUCAGGUGACCUGGCAGGAAACCAGGAAGGUUUUUGACAUAAUACUGAAAUCAACAUGUUCCCACAGAAAGUUUUACUUUUAAUAAACUGGCAUUUUCUGAAC